ACGUACACUCCUACGGGAGGCAGCAGUGGGGAAUAUUGGACAAUGGGCGCAAGCCUGAUCCAGCCAUGCCGCGUGAGUGAUGAAGGCCCUAGGGUUGUAAAGCUCUUUCACCGGUGAAGAUAAUGACGGUAACCGGAGAAGAAGCCCCGGCUAACUUCGUGCCAGCAGCCGCGGUAAUACGAAGGGGGCUAGCGUUGUUCGGAUUUACUGGGCGUAAAGCGCACGUAGGCGGACUAUUAAGUCAGGGGUGAAAUCCCGGGGCUCAACCCCGGAACUGCCUUUGAUACUGGUAGUCUUGAGUUCGAGAGAGGUGGGUGGAAUUCCGAGUGUAGAGGUGAAAUUCGUAGAUAUUCGGAGGAACACCAGUGGCGAAGGCGGCUCACUGGCUCGAUACUGACGCUGAGGUGCGAAAGCGUGGGGAGCAAACAGGAUUAGAUACCCCGGUAGUCCCA
This 452-nucleotide ribosomal RNA is filed under the name uncultured organism. RNAcentral describes it as "partial 16S ribosomal RNA". It matches the Rfam family "Bacterial small subunit ribosomal RNA", at positions 329 to 797 of the family's 1533-position model. The record is from RNAcentral.